This 559-nucleotide ribosomal RNA is filed under the name uncultured Bacteroidota bacterium. RNAcentral describes it as "bacterial SSU rRNA". It matches the Rfam family "Bacterial small subunit ribosomal RNA", at positions 8 to 565 of the family's 1533-position model. The record is from RNAcentral. Lineage: Bacteria; Pseudomonadati; Bacteroidota.
AGAGUUUGAUCCUGGCUCAGGAUGAACGCUAGCUGGAGGCUUAAUACAUGCAAAGUCGAGCGGGAUUGAGGCAGCAAUGUCUCAUGAGAGCGGCGCACGGGUGAGUAACGCGUACACGACCUACCUUUGACUGGGGGAUAGCCCUGGGAAACUGGGAUUAAUACCGCAUAUAAUUCUGAUAGUAAAGUGAUCGGAAUGAAAGUUCAGGCGGUCAGAGAUGGGUGUGCGUCUGAUUAGCUAGUUGGUAGGGUAACGGCCUACCAAGGCGAUGAUCAGUAGGGGGCGUGAGAGCGUGGACCCCCACACGGGUACUGAGACACGGACCCGACUCCUACGGGAGGCAGCAGUAAGGAAUAUUGGACAAUGGCCGCAAGGCUGAUCCAGCCAUCCAGCGUGCAGGAAGAAGCCCUAAGGGUUGUAAACUGCUUUUAUCAGGGAAGAAACCCCUUUGUUCACAAAGGGCUGACGGUACCUGAAGAAUAAGCACCGGCUAACUCCGUGCCAGCAGCCGCGGUAAUACGGAGGGUGCGAGCGUUAUCCGGAAUUACUGGGUUUAAAG